CAGCUCCAAUAGCGUAUAUUAAAGUUGUUGUGGUUAAAAAGCUCGUAGUCGAACCUUGGGCCUGGCUGGCCGGUCCCCCUCACCGGGUGCACUGAUCCAGCCGGGCCUUUCCCUCUGUGGAACCCCAUGGCCUUCACUGGCUGUGCGGGGGAAACAGGACUUUUACUGUGAAAAAAUUAGAGUGCUCCAGGCAGGCCUAUGCUCGAAUACAUUAGCAUGGAAUAAUAGAAUAGGACGUGUGGUUCUAUUUUGUUGGUUUCUAGGACCGCCGUAAUGAUUAAUAGGGACAGUCGGGGGCAUCAGUAUUCAGUUGUCAGAGGUGAAAUUCUUGGAUCUACUGAAGACUAACUACUGCGAAAGCAUUUGCCAAGGAUGUUUUCAUUGAUAAGGAACGAAAGUUAGGGGAUCGAAGACGAUCAGAUACCGUCGUAGUCUUAACUAUAAACUAUGCCGACUAGGGAUCGGACGAUGUUAUUAUUUGACGCGUUCGGCACCUUUCGAGAAAUCAAAGUGCUUGGGCUCCAGGGGGAGUAUGGUCGCAAGGCUGAAACUUAAAGAAAUUGACGGAAGGGCACCACCAGGGGUGGAACCUGCGGCUUAAUUUGACUCAACACGGGGAAACUCACCAGGUCCAGACACAGUGAGGAUUGACAGAUUGAGAGCUCUUUCUUGAUUCUGUGGGUGGUGGUGCAUGGCCGUUCUUAGUUGGUGGAGUGAUUUGUCUGCUUAAUUGCGAUAACGAACGAGACCUUAACCUGCUAAAUAGCCCGUACUGCUCUGGCAGUUCGCUGGCUUCUUAGAGGGACUAUCGGCUCAAGCCGAUGGAAGUUUGAGGCAAUAACAGGUCUGUGAUGCCCUUAGAUGUCCUGGGCC
This 873-nucleotide ribosomal RNA is filed under the name uncultured fungus. Its description in RNAcentral is "SSU rRNA". It matches the Rfam family "Eukaryotic small subunit ribosomal RNA", at positions 586 to 1488 of the family's 1831-position model. The record is from RNAcentral. Lineage: Eukaryota; Fungi.